UCUCUCCUCCUUUUCAGAGAGUGAGUGCAGUUCAUGCUAGGAGUGGAAGGCAUUCUUCUUAGGCUACUUGGGUAUCAGGAGACCCAGCCCUUUCCCUGUGAAUAUUUGAUUUUACUUCUUGUGAGUGUUCAGCUCCUGCUUAACAACAGGCAACAUGAAGAGUGAGAUUGGAGGUGAGAAGGUACUUAUCUGCUGCUUGUGAGCAAGGCUCUGUAAGGGGUAGGCUCCCCCACAAGACAACCCGGUGGUUGCUCAGGAAACUGUGAGACAAACCGUGCUCCCUGAGAAGAAAGGGGGACUCAACAGUCUAUGGCUCUGAUAACCUUAGCUGGUGGCCUGGCUUCCUUCUGAUAAGAGAAAGAGAAGUACAAAACAUUCACCAGACUGUAGCACCUUUCACCAUCCUCUCUGAGCUGCAAUGAAGAUAAAAACAAAGCUAUUCAUGACCUACCAUGCUUUGAAUGGACCCAGCCUCUCUCUCCCAGAAAUUCAUGUUAAAAUGAAAAAAUGUAACCAAAUUUGAGAGCCAUAUUUUCCUCCUGAGCCACAAUUAUCCUGAUCCCUCAUUCAAAACAACUCUGUGAUGAAGACAACAGUACAUUUUUCCUGUCUGUUCCAUUCUGCCUAAAUCACAUACCUCUGAAGAAUCUGCUCAGGAUCACCUUGUCAUAUACAGAACCUCCAGG
This 686-nucleotide long non-coding RNA is filed under the name Homo sapiens (human). RNAcentral describes it as "HSALNT0046074". The record is from RNAcentral. Lineage: Eukaryota; Metazoa; Chordata; Mammalia; Primates; Hominidae.